RNAcentral lists this antisense RNA (1260 nucleotides) under Pan troglodytes (chimpanzee). The stretch from base 379 to 522 matches the Rfam family "CDKN2B antisense RNA 1 convserved region 3". The record is from RNAcentral. Lineage: Eukaryota; Metazoa; Chordata; Mammalia; Primates; Hominidae.
AGCUACAUCCGUCACCUGACACGGCCCUACCAGGAACAGCCGCGCUCCCGCGGAUUCUGGUGCUGCUCGCGUCCCCGCUCCCCUAUUCCCCUUAUUUUAUUCCUGGCUCCCCUCUUCGAAAGUCUUCCAUUCUUCAAACUAGAUUAUUUAAAAAUGAAAAAGGAAGAAAGGAAAGCGAGGUCAUCUCAUUGCUCUAUCCGCCAAUCAGGAGGCUGAAUGUCAGUUUUGAACUAAAAGCCGCUCCGCUCCUCUUCUAGAUUUGGAAAACAAGCGAAAUUAAACUAAACCGCUGCACGCCUCUGACGCGACAUCUGGACACGGCGCGGCGCUGGCGCUGCCGGAGCUGUCGGCCCGGCCUGGCGCCGGACUAGUGUCCCUUUUGAUGAGAAGAAUAAGCCUCAUUGUGAUUCAACAGCAGAGAUCAAAGAAAAGACUUCUGUUUUCUGGCCACCAGAUAUAUGUUAUCUGUGCUUAAAGAAUUGAAAAACACACAUCAAAGGAGAAUUCUCUUGGAAAGAGAGGGUUCAAGCAUCACUGUUAGGUGUGCUGGAAUCCUUUCCCGAGUCAGUACUGCUUUCUAGAAGAAAACCGGGGAGAUCUAUUUGGAAUGUAUCUAACUCCAAAGGAACCAUCAGAGGUAACAGUAGAGACGGGGUUUCACCAUGUUGGCCAGACUGGUCUUGAACUCCCGACCUCGUGAUUCGCCCGCCUUGGCCUCCCAAAGUGCUGGGAUUACAGGUGUGAGACACCAUGCCCGGCGGAUAGAGAGAAUUUUGACAGAUAUGACACAUUCGUAAUUUAAACAGAAGCCUACAAAGAACUCAUAAAUUGAAAGAAGAUAAUCUUUUCACAAGGUGAUGGAGGCUUUUUAUUUUGCCACAAAACCACUGGUGACGUUGCCUGUGGCCACCUUGGAGAAGACACUGGAGACAGAGUCUCACUCUGUCACCCAGGCUGGAGUGUAUUGGCAUGAUUACAGCUCACUGUGACCUUGAACUCCCAGGCUCAAACCUGAGCAGCUGGGACUACAGGUGCACCACCAUGCAUGGAUGAUUACGGAGCUAGGAAUUUCCUACAAAGCUGGGUGAUAAAAGGACAUUGGACAAAAACACAGAUAGCUUCAUUCUAUACCAGGAUCCAUCACUGAUUAGCUGUAUUAUAUUUGUCUCUACUGUAAUUUGAGGAGAAUGAUACCUGCUUCUCUAUCUUGUUGGGUUUUACAGAUGAUGUAUUGAAAGUUCAAUAAAAUCUAUAAACAAU